ACUCCUACGGGAGGCAGCAGUGGGGAAUAUUGCGCAAUGGGGGCAACCCUGACGCAGCCAUGCCGCGUGAGUGAAGAAGGCCUUAGGGUUGUAAAACUCUUUCAGUGGUGAAGAUAAUGACGGUAGCCACAGAAGAAGCCCCGGCCAACUCCGUGCCAGCAGCCGCGGUAAUACGGAGGGGGCUAGCGUUGUUCGGAAUUACUGGGCGUAAAGCGCGCGUAGGCGGACUGGUCAGUUGGGGGUGAAAUCCCGGGGCUUAACCUCGGAACUGCCUUCAAUACUGCCAGUCUUGAGUUCGAGAGAGGUAAGCGGAAUUCCUAGUGUAGAGGUGAAAUUCGUAGAUAUUAGGAAGAACACCGGUGGCGAAGGCGGCUUACUGGCUCGAUACUGACGCUGAGGCGCGAAAGCGUGGGGAGCAAACAGGAUUAGAUACCCUGGUAGCGAG
RNAcentral lists this ribosomal RNA (445 nucleotides) under uncultured bacterium. Its description in RNAcentral is "bacterial SSU rRNA". It matches the Rfam family "Bacterial small subunit ribosomal RNA", at positions 335 to 797 of the family's 1533-position model. The record is from RNAcentral.